This 468-nucleotide ribosomal RNA is filed under the name uncultured bacterium. RNAcentral describes it as "partial 16S ribosomal RNA". It matches the Rfam family "Bacterial small subunit ribosomal RNA", at positions 28 to 507 of the family's 1533-position model. The record is from RNAcentral.
GACGAACGCUGGCGGCGUGCUUAACACAUGCAAGUCGAACGGAAAGGCCCGGCUUUUGUUGGGUGCUCGAGUGGCGAACGGGUGAGUAACACGUGAGUAACCUGCCCCUGACUUUGGGGUAACUUCACGAAACUGGGGCUAAUACCGGAUAGGAUCUCCUGCUCCAUGGUGUGGGUUGGAAAUUUUCGGCGGUUGGGGAUGUACUCGCGGCUUAUCAGCUUGUUGGUGUGGUAGUUGCUUACCAAGGCUUUGACGGGUAGCCGGCCUGAGAGGGUGACCGGCCACAUGGGGACUGAGAUACGGAGCAGACUCCUACGUGAGGCAGCAGUGGGGAACAUUGCAGAAUGGGGCGGAGCCUGAUGCAGCAACGCUGCGUGCGUGAUGACGGCCUUCGGGUUGUAAACCGCUUUCGCCUGUGACGAAGCGUGAGUGACGGUAAUGGGUCAAGAAGCACCGGCUAACUACGUG